GGUCUAUUGGUCUAGUGGUUAUGACGCUGCCCUUUCAAGGCGGAGACGAGAAUUCGAUUUUCUCAUAGACUACCA
Molecule: transfer RNA, 75 nt
Filed under: archaeon
Lineage: Archaea
Description: tRNA-Glu
Rfam family: tRNA
About the family: Transfer RNA (tRNA) molecules are approximately 80 nucleotides in length.
Source: RNAcentral